GCCACUACCACCAGGCAACAUCCUGAGAGGAUCCGCUAUCAUCUAAGUUUCUCACCUUGACACAAAGCCUUGUUUGGCCCUCCCUAGUUAUACUUCUGGGUUUUUUCUUAAGUCUCUGUUGUUUUUUUUUUUCCCUCAGUCUUUGCAACAGUACUAAGUUUAAUGCCACAUCAGACUGAAUAUUUCUCUUUGAAUCAGCUGCCUAAAUCACCUUUGCUGACAUCUGCAAUCAUGAGAUUCAGACCCUGAAAAUACUGACUGCAAUUAGGACUUCCAAAUCAGGGUACAUCAAGGAAGAGAAAAUGGAAACUCAUGGGACAAACACAUGGCCUUCCAUUGUUCAGUUCCAAAGCACAAACAAAGAAGAUGAUUUUUCAAAUAUUGAACUGACAAAGGAUAACUCUGAGCUCUAUUUUGGUACUUGGACCUACCAGAACUACUUAUGGACUUACCCUCCUCUCUCUCUCUCCCUUACUCCUUUUCUUUCACUCAUUGGCAAAGGCGUUGAGAGGGGACCAUCUCCAGUUGUCCUGAUCUAUAUCUGGCCACUGGACUCAGAUGGCUCCGGAAGAGAAAGUGAGGCUGGUGACUUUGCACAGCCCUCCCUCACUUAAAUCCAAUUCACUUGCAAGUCGUGGCAUCACCUUCCUGAUGUCAUGGUAUAAGACAAACAACAACAAUGAUGGUGACAGGGCCUUGAGAAUUGAAACUCAUAUUUUUUGGGAGGAAUAAGAGUAGAAUUUUAAAAUUCCAAGCUUACUAAUCAUAGAUAAAAAUAAACAUUUAAAUAAAAAAAAUUUAAAAUGCUCA
This 810-nucleotide long non-coding RNA is filed under the name Phascolarctos cinereus (koala). Its description in RNAcentral is "lncRNA (ENSPCIG00000025860.2)". The record is from RNAcentral. Lineage: Eukaryota; Metazoa; Chordata; Mammalia; Diprotodontia; Phascolarctidae.